Non-coding RNA from Phaeosphaeria sp. MPI-PUGE-AT-0046c, 89 nucleotides. The record is from the annotation of a GenBank genome assembly. Lineage: Eukaryota; Fungi; Ascomycota; Dothideomycetes; Pleosporales; Phaeosphaeriaceae.
GGUUUUGUAGUGUAGCGGUCAUCACUUCGGAUUCUGAUUGUACAUUUCAGAGUCUUCCGGCGACCCCGGUUCGAAUCCGGGCAAGACCU